AGAACGAACGCUGGCGGCAUGCCUAACACAUGCAAGUCGAACGAGACCUUCGGGUCUAGUGGCGCACGGGUGCGUAACGCGUGGGAAUCUGCCCUUCGGUUCGGAAUAACAGUUAGAAAUGACUGCUAAUACCGGAUAAUGACGUAAGUCCAAAGAUUUAUCGCCGAGGGAUGAGCCCGCGUAAGAUUAGCUUGUUGGUGAGGUAAAGGCUCACCAAGGCUACGAUCUUUAGCUGGUCUGAGAGGAUGAUCAGCCACACUGGGACUGAGACACGGCCCAGACUCCUACGGGAGCAGCAGUGGGGAAUAGUUGGACAAUGGGG
RNAcentral lists this ribosomal RNA (322 nucleotides) under uncultured soil bacterium. RNAcentral describes it as "bacterial SSU rRNA". It matches the Rfam family "Bacterial small subunit ribosomal RNA", at positions 26 to 376 of the family's 1533-position model. The record is from RNAcentral.